UUUUCUUUUUUUUUUUUUUUUUUUUUUUUUUUCUGUAGGUCUCGGGUUCGAGACUUGGGAGCAGUCUCUCCAUAAAUGGGGGUAAGGCUAGCCGACAUUCACCUCUCCCAGACCCUGCGUAAAGCGGGAGCCUUGUGCACUGGGUACGACCUUUUUUCUUCUUCCUCCUCCUUCUCCUUCUUCUUCCUUCUCCUUCCUCCUCAUUCUUCUUCUCCUUCUUCUUCCUUCUUAAGAAGGAAAAAAAAAAAAAAAAAAAAAAAAAAAAAAAAAAACCGAACCCAGAAAAGAAGAGGAAGAAGAAGGAAGAAGAAGGAGAAGAAGAAUGAGGAGGAAGGAGAAGGAAGAAGAAGAAGGAGAAGAAGAAGGAGGAGGAAGGAGAAGGAAGAAGAAGGAGGAGGAAGAAGGAAAAAAAAAAAAAAAAAAAAAAAGAAGAGAAACCGAACCCAGAAGAAGAAGGAGAAGAAGAAGGAGAAGAAGAAGGAGGAGGAAAGAGAAGGAAGAAAAAGGAGAAAGAGGAGGAAGAAGAAGAAGAAGAAGAAAAAAAAAAGAGAGAAACCGAACCCAGAAGAAGGAGAAGAAGGAGAAGAAGAAGGAGGAGGAAGGAGAAGGAAGAAGGAGAGAGGAGGAAGGAGGAGGAGGAGGAAGAAGGAAAAAAAAAGAAAACCGAACCCAGAAGAAGAAGAAGAAGAAGAAGAAAAAAAAAAAAAAAAAAAAAAGAACAAGAAGAGAAGAAGAAAAAAAAAUAUUUUAUUAUUAUUUUAAUAUUUUAUUAUUUAAAUAUUUUUAAUAUUAUUUUUAUUUAAAUAAAUUUUUUAUUUUUUUAAUGACACGUGGCGUCCAAUCAGAGCGCCACGUCAUCACUUAACGGGAGAACUAACAGUUUGACUAACAGAUGUAUGAGACUGUCCCAAAAUUUACACUUUAGGUAUGACUCUGGGACGAAAAAAACUUGAUGUACUAAAUGUUGAAAAUCACGAAACAUAAGGGUGGUAAACAGUCUUUUACCCUUGUUUUUAAUUAUUCUUUCACAUUUAGGUCUUUUUUCUUAUCACUUUUGUUUAUUAUGUAAUUAUUGCCAUGUUACUUUCCAAAUGCUUCCAAAUUCCAGACUAAAAUAAUGCAUUUUUUAUGGUUGAGUAGCUGUAAUCACACCAAGAAGUCAUUGUUUAUAAUCUAUUGGAUAGCCUUUGUCCUUUCGUGUUCGUUUCUUUCUUCCUUUCCUCUCUUUCACUGCACCUUCUUGGCCGGUUGGUAGUAUGUGGUUUCUCAAGUUCAUAUGCGAACGUUAUUAUGUUAUAAACUUUUCAAUUCUAGCAAUGUGAGACAAUGAGAUAACAAAACAAAUUCUGCUCAAACUCCAACGUGUAUACCAUCUACCUUGGUGUAUUACAUGGUUCAUUUGCCCAUUAAGGAAAGGCGCUGCUAAUAGAAGUAUAAUCCUAAUGCGCAUUUUGCAAUAGUUUUGGCAGUGGAAGAGCUUGAAACGAUCCAUUGGGGAAGCUCUCUUCGAGCCAUUGAGACGUUGAGGAGUUGAGCGUGUGACUGAUUGGCAUGUGAAAAUCGGAGCCAUUGAAAUAUAUUUACCGUUGUGGAAAAUAAGUUAGAUGAAACUACAUGAGGCUUGUGUAAGUUCUAUAAAAGAGUAAACACUUGGGCCCUGUUUGGCACACCGUAUAAGGCACCGGAUAGUACUAAUAAUACGGUGUACGGUGUUUGGUGCCGUUUGGAUUAAAUAGGCACCGGAUUAAAUAAUCCGGGCCCACCUUUUUUACCCGGUGUUUACCUGCUUCGUUAUACCGUCCAAAUUCACCGUAUAACUUAGUCAGCCUCGUCUCUUCCUUUCCGCUCGCUCUCGCUCUCCGCUCGUUCUCACCCUCGCUCUCCGCUUGCGAACUUGAGCCACUCUUUCUCACCUUUCCUUGGCGUCGUCGUCCUCCCUGUCACCUCCUCCUCACACUCUCACUCGCCGUCCCGGUCACCUUCUGCCAUCGGCCGUCCCUCGCCCGUCGCCAUCGCCUUCCGUCACCUGCAUCGCCGCCAUCGCCGCUUGCAAUUGCCGUCGCUUCUGUCAUCGUCUUCCCUGUCACCUGCAACUGCCUUCGGGGAAGAAGAAGAAGAGAGAAAGGGAGGGAGUUUGGGGGUGCGGCGGAGAGAUCUGGGUUUCAUUAUUUGGGAUUCUUCGUAGUCGGGGAAGAAGAAGGGAGAGAGAGAGGGAGGGAGUUUGGGGGGGGGGGCGCGAAGAGAUCUGGGAACCAGAUUUUCAGUUGUUUUUUUUUUUUUUUUUUUUAAGUUUAAUUUUAGUUUAAGUUUUCCUCCUAUCCGAUAUAAUAACAAACACUGUAUAAAUAAUACGAUUAUUAAUCCGAUACUGCACCAAACGCCCGACUAAUUUAGUCAGUACUGUCCGGUGACUAUUUAUCCUAUCCGACAGAAAUAGUCAGUACAAUCCGAGCUGCCAAACGAGGCCUUGGUGAUUUGAUUAAAAACGUGGAAUGAUAAGGAGAUAAUGACUGACAUUAGUGGUAGACUAAUCAAGAGUUGUAUUUCUUUACAGUUUCAAGUCAGUUACAUUCUCGGUAAAACUAGAACUCUUCUAGCUUAUAUAAUACAUAAGUGUUUCACGGUGAUAAGGCUACUCUUUGAUAAGGAUCACUUAAUGGGAGGGAUCCUUAUUGAAUUCCAUGUAUAAAACUAAGGUCCCUGCUUUCUCCACUAAAUACGCAAGUUUGCAAAAAACUCAAGCCUCAUUGAGUGAGCCAUGCUUUCAAUUGUGUAGAGUUGCAGGAGAACUUCCGUUUUUAAUCCUAAUUUUCUGAGACGAUGUCUUUCACAGGUACAUAGUUAAGUUGAUAACUGUGAAUAAAUUUUUUUGCAAAAUUAACUUACAACUUGGACCAUUGAAAUUUAUUAGAAUGGAUCGAUAGGGUCUCCAGUUUCGUGCUAGUUUCUUUCCUCUUUCCCCGUACCGGCAAGAAAGUCAUUUCAUCCUUUGAAAACAUUGUUUAUAUAUGCAUAUAUGGCAUCCAUUUGGGUGUAUUGUAUGGUUCAUUUGACUAAUUAAUUACGACCUGACUACUAAACAAAACAAAAAUAGUUAACCAUUUGCCAAGGAAUCCAACUGUCUAAUAAAUACAUUAGUUAAUUAGCUCCAAUAAGAUUUAGGAGAAAUUUUUCAUUGAGAUGGUACACCACGUGUUUUUAUAUAAGUGGUGGGAAAUUUUACUUUUUAAGUUAUUAACUUUUUAUCACAUAUAUCCCAUCAUUUGCAUAGUAACAUGUGGUGUACUACUCUUUGUUCCGGCCACACUAAAAAAUCUCUCUCAAGAUUUAGGGUUGUUGCUUACAUAUGCAAAAAGACAACGUUCGCUAUCUUGUCCUUUCAAACAUUGUUUAUGUUUGUACCAUACUUAGGGCAUCCGUAUUUAGACCUCGUAUAAAUACUUGGAGGACUCAAAUGUAAUUAUGUAAUAAAUGAAGAGACAAAUAUGUAAUAAGUGAGGAGCCCUUAUUCUAUAAAAGUAUUCAUCACUUUCCUCAUUAGGGGAGGCCAUUUCUUAAGCCCCCUCAUCCUCUCAAAGCUCUCACUCUCAUAUUCAGAGCUCUCUCUACCUCAGAAAUACAAUAUCAGUGUGGACGUAACCCAAACCUUGGGGUGAACCACGAUACAUCUUGUGUUAUUUACUUUCUUACAGAUUCACAGUCGGAUCUACAUUGUUCCAAUACCUCCGGUUUUGUGCAUCAACAGUUUAUAUAUGGCAUGAUGGCAUCCAUUUGGGUGUACUGUAUGGUUAAUUUGACUAAUAAGGAAAGAUAGCUAAUGCAAGUUUACUCCUAAUGCCCAUUUUGCAUUAGUUUUUAGCAGUGGAGCCUAAAAAUGGUCCAUUUGGGUGUAUUACAUGGUCCGUCCCCAUUUGGAUCUAUUAUAUUACUCGUCACUUAAUAGUUAAUACAACGAUCCAAUAAAUUGUUGUUUUAAGUUCAUAUCUUGUAAAUGGUUGAAUUAUUAUCACUUACCUUGAAUAAUUGUUUAUAAUUAUUCUUUCACAUUUUGUUCUUUGUUCUAAUCACUUUUGUUUAUUAUGUGGUUGUUGCCAUGUUACUUCUCAAAUACUUCCAAAUUCCAAACUAAAAUAAUGCAUUAUUGAUGUUUGAAUAGCUGUAAUCAUCCUAAGAAGUAAUUGUUUAUAAUAUAUUGGAUAAUCUUUGUCCUUCCGUGUUCGUUUCUUUCUUCCUUUCCUCUCUUUCACUGCACCUUCCUGACCGGCCGGCAGUAUAUCGUUUCUCAAGUUCAUACGCGAACGUUAUUAUAUUAUAAACUUUUCCAUUCUAGCAAUGUGAGACAAUGAGAUAACAAAACAAAUUCUGCUCAAACUCUAACGUGUAUAACAUCCAUCUUGGCGUAUUAUAUGGUUCAUUUGCCUAACAAGGAAAGGCGCAGCUAAUAGAAGUAUAAUCCUAAUGCGCAUUUUGCAAUAGUUUUACCAGUGGAGGAGCUUAAAACGAUCCAUUGGGGUGUAUUAUGUGGUCCACACCCAUUUGGAUGUAUUAUAUUAGAGCACAGCCUAAUAGUUAAUACAAUCAUCCAGUAGAUCGUGGUCUCAUGUUUGAAUCUUGUAAAUGGCUGAAUCAGUUACCGCCCACCUUGAAUAAUUGCUUUUAGUUGUCGUUUCACAUUUGGGUCUUUUCUCUUAUAACUUUUGUUUAUUAUGCGGUUGUUGCCAUUCUACUUCUUAGAUGCUAACACAUUUCAACCUAAAAUAAAACAUUAUUGAUGGUUGGAUGCCCGUAAUCACUGCCAAGAAGUCAUUGUUACAAUCUAUUUGAUAGUCUGUCAUUUUGUGUUCGUUUAUUUCCUCUUUUUCUCUCUCUUACUUUUCUCUGCACCUUCCGACCAUCAUUUUGUCGUUUCUCAAGUCCAUACGCCAACAUUAUUAUAUUAUAAACUUUGUUCUAUUUUAUUGAAGGAGCUUGACUUGGGUUUAGGAUCCAGGAACAUUAUUAUUACUCACUUAAUUUAACGGGAAAGGAGAAAAUAUAACAAAAUGGUUAAAUAACUGCCUAUCGACUGUAUUAAGAUCAAACACUGGGUGAUCAUAAUUUUCUUGGACCCGGAGAUCAUGGAGAACAAGUAAUUUUUGUUCUAAAAAUCCCUGCCUAGCGCUAGGCGGCUGGCCACAACCCCAAUUAGUCUCUAAGUGUUUGAAAAUUAAGAAAGUGUGCUAGACCUGCUUAGUCGUCCGCCUAGGCCGCAACUCUCAUUUAAACAGAAAAUCGAUAACACUUAUUUUGUAUUUUGUUUUUCCAAUAAAAUAAAGACUUGUUAAAUACUUGGAUAAGUUGUCAUUAUAUGCUUGUUUCUCAUGUUUUCAUUAUGUUCUAAUACUUUAUAAUCGAUAUGUCAUUUUAUUUUACACUUUAUAUAUCUCAAUACAAUUGUGUGUCAUUUUAUGUAUAAAAAGAUAUUUAUUUAUACAAUAUAUAAUAAAUUUACUUAAAUCCGUUUAGGCCCCGCCUAGGUGCUAGACCCCAACCCAACUCUCGACUAGCGCAUAGCAUCUUUUAUAACCUUAUGUAAUAUAUGGACUAACUCUUGUUAUGGAAUAUUAUUGAUUAAUUAUAUAAGGAUAAUACUAGGGAGAUCAAGUUUUUAAACCAAAUUUGUAAAUCAAAUUAUGUGUCACCAAUAAGAAACAAACACAUUAAUCGACACUUAGUUAAUAACCCAAUCAUCUAUAACCAUAUCAUUUGAUUUGCAAAUUUAAUUAAAAUUUUUUUAUCUUUACCCGUUAUAUAAACCAAGCCAAGUCUUUAACUCUUGUGAAUUCUGAUGCUUUUUUCUUCAAUGGAUGGGUUCACAAUCAUGCGUUAACAAUCAUGUUGCGUGGCAAAAUUGAGGGCUCAAGUCACGUUAUUUGUAGUCUUACUAUCUCCUUUCUUUUGUUUUUGUCCUACUCCUUUUAUUUUGCGUUUUUUCUUUUUCUCUUAUUUUGGAUAGUUUGAAAUUGUGAAUUUUGUGUUUUUUCAUAUUUAAUUUCUAAAAAUAAUUUUCUAAUGGACCCUAUUACCUAUAUGCUUUUAGGUUAGACAGAAAGUGUCAAAAAAGGAAAAUCAUUCAUUCUUGAAACAGCAUUUUUAAGAUCAAAAUGUGUUCUUUUUCUUUUAUUUUUAUUUUUUAUUUUUUUGGAAACGGAUCAAAAUGUGUUUUUUUAAUUUUCACCUACUCUCUUCAUCACCAAAUUAUAUAUUAUAUAUACCUUAUACUAAAGCUCAAGAACAAAGCUACUGUUUAUUAACGGUAGAGUGACUAGAAUGCCCUCAAAUUACUCUUGACUGUGCCUUUUUUACCUUCACAGAAAAAUGCUUGGUAGAAAACCAAGGAUAUCUUCUUAGGACCGACGCACCCCAUUCUAAAUCUGACCGAGUCCUGCAAAAUCUGAAGAAAUAGAAGCAGGCAAAAGUGGAAUGAUCUAUAGGGGCAGCUUCAGCCAGGAUUCGGGCAUGGGCCACACCCUCAGGGAACUCCAGAUUAGCAGCCCGAAAUUCUGGAAAGUACCAUUGAAGCCAAGUUUGUAUCAUCCAUAUAGGUCCCAUUCAAGUUGGUCUCAAAUGGCUCACCUUGAGUCAUUUCGAAAAGAAGAUGAUAAAGAUGGGAAAGAAGGAAUGGACUUGUGGCUACGUCAUCAAAGUUGUGAAGAGCUUCUACCAAGGGGAUCCAUUCAACCCUCACCCCUUUAGAUUUGUUGGGGAAGAUGUGCUUGUUGAGCCAGUAUAAGAGGAAAUACAUGUGCUCCUGAUCUUUAUCAACCCGAGGUGAGCCUACCCCAAAAUUCUCUUUUACGAAGGGGAUGAAUCCUUUGAAGGAGGUCCCAUAACUCUUGAAAGUUACAGAGUUAUAGUUCAAAGAGAGGAAGGCAGCAGAUGAACUUGAGCUUCCAGUGGUAGAGGACGGAACCCAGUCUUGAGUGACGUCCACUAUCCUGCCCGAGAGCCUUAAACCGAAAACUUGAGCCAUGUCAAGAAUGGUGGGAGACAUGGGGCCCAUACGGAAGUCAAAGGUAUUUGUGCCUGAAUUCCAGAAAAGGAGGGCAGAGACAAGUAGUUCGGGCUUGGGAAUAAUAGAGGUCUUCGAAAGCAUGAUUAACUCAUAAAUACCAUUAUUCAUCCAUUUCCUCUUAAAAGUAGGCUCUAAAUCAUCAAUCCAUUGAGCCCAGGCAGGAUCAUUCAUCAGAGGAAAGCCCCGACGAUAUGAUGACCAUUUGGAGGAAGAGAUGCCCGACCUAGCCGAAUAGGGAUUUGGGGAAAACCAGUUAUCUCUAGGCAUGUUGCCCUCCACCAUUGAAGGGACCCGAGAAAUCCAGGCGGGACCCAAUGAUUGUACCCCAUGCACCUCAAAGAAAAGCUCGGAGUGCAGACCUGCCUGAGGGCGAUGCAGCCUAUUGAGUAGACGACGCAGAGUGGCGAUUCCUUCGCCAGAUUCGUAAGAGGAUUGGGUUUGGCUAGAUUCUGCAGUCAUUUGAAGGAGUUCGAGAAAGGAAUAAUAUCAAGGAAGAUGACGAGGGCGAGAACUUAGAGCAGGAUUUCUUGCUGUGAAUACAGGGGAUCGAGGAGUUCAACCGCAAGGGAUUCGUGGGUUUUAUAAAGAGCUUUUUCAAUCAAUAUUGGCCCCUGGAAUUCCAGGCUAAAUAUUGAUUGAAGGGGGCACUGUUUGGAUCAAAACUUGAACUUUGGGCUCAAGGAAGGAGCUAGCCCGAAAGAAAGCCCAAAGGGAAAAAUAGCCAGAGCCCAGUCAAAGCCCAGAAGGCAGGGAAAGGCCUUUUCUGACCUGGUGCAGCUCAUGAAGACCAUUUGCUUACCUACCCAAAGGUCAAGUGGUGUAGACUGAUCAGCUAGACAGCCCAUAAAGCACUUUAUGGUGGCAUUACAUGUAAAAUAGCUGAUGAGUCAUCACCAUCAAACCGCAUUCGGGUAAAGCUGCUGCUACAGAAGCCCAAGCCGAGUUGUCUAUAUAAGAAGAAAGAAAAUCCAGGAUUAAGGACACUCAAUCAAACAAACAAAUGCAAGCACAAAAUCUGCUCAAAGCCAGAUUUGCCUUCAAAACAAAGCUGUAGUCAGCCUUCAUCCCUUUCGGGACAAACCUUCAUCCCUCUCGGGAUAACCCUCUCGGGAUAACCCUCUCUUCAACCCUUUGUAAUAGCUCUGCUACCUUGUUCAACCUUGCUGUAGUAUCGAUUCAUCUUUUGUAAUCUCUCUCUCUCUACCCCUCUAAGCUUUCAGACCUUUGACAAAACUACAAAGAUAAGAACCUGCAAGACGAGCAACCUUACUCAAUAAGGUUUAACCUUGCCCGACCUUCUUUGCUUUGGUUUUGUCUUUUCAAUAUGUUGUAUACUUCCAGUUAUAUGCAAGUUAUUUUUAGCAACAUGGCUAUUAAAAGGCUUUCUUAGUACCUGAAUCCGAUUUGAAUAUAUCGUUAGUGUUCAAACCAGAUCCAAGUCCUAAGCCCUCGGGCAUGUAAAUCUGAUCAGUUAAAAGUCAUUGGCCUCAAGGCAUAAAAAAGAACCUUAUGUGGACUUAACCCAUCCACGACAGUCCUUGAUAAACGAGAAGUCCAAAGUUACUUGGGGCGCAAGUAAUCAACCUACCUUCUAGUUUUCUUUCUAUUAUAUCAUGAUUACCAUAGAACGCUUGAGCAUGGAAUGGAUUCUAAUGGAAAGCCUCAAGGCCUACACCUAAGGCCCCACAAAGGCAUCCAUUUGGAUUCAUUCCGUUCAGCGAUCUAAAGAGUCUAAGUAUAAGAAUGAACUCUGAUGGGAAGCCUCAAGGCCUACACCUAAGGCCUCACAAAGGCACCUAUUUGGGUUCAUUCUACUUCUUGGAUUCGGGUAAUCAGAAGUAUAAUAGUUAGAAAACUCCUACAAUCACGAGAACAAAUAUGAUGUGUUCGAACACUGGUUUAGUUAUUUAUAGGAAGCCUCAAGGCCUACACCUAAAGCCCCACAAAGGCACCUGUUAUAACUAACACGGUUUCUUGGAUACAUACAUAUAUACAACUAAAGCACGACAACCAUUUUACAUCUGCCAUGCUAAAGAUGGCAGUGGCAUGCCUGAGCACUUAAAUGUUAACCUUGAUUGUGAGCCUCAAGGCCUACACCUAAGGCCCCACAAAUGCACCUCUCAAAGUUAACGCUGUCCUUCUCUUUCAGCCUUGCUCGAAGAGUCUUGCCCGAAGAGUCUUGCCCGACGAGACUAGCCCGACGAGACUUGCCCAACAACGCCCGAUAGUGAAGCAGAAGCCCGACAGCAGCCCUCAACCGGCGCCAACCUCCAGGGGAGCUGUGUGCUCGUCGGCCAGGAAACAUCCCCGACAGAAAUUCAUGACGCGAACAGGUUCACUGGUCGUAAAAUUAACUGAUAAGGGAGUCUCCGCUAAAGAUAGAGACACGGGAAAAGUUUCAAAUAUACCUUAUGGGAUGGUUCUCUGGGCAACUGGUAUCGGGCCACGCCCUGAGAUUAUCGAUUUUAUGAAGCAGAUUGGUCAGGUUUGAUACUAACUUGUGCUUGUUUCCAAUUAUAGUCGAGAGGUUAACUUUUGAUUUGACGCUUCAAUUGAUCAAAUUUUGUAAUUUGUUUGCGCAAAACAGACCAAUCGACGUGUUUUGGCUACGGAUGAAUGUCUGAGGGUGGAAGGAUGUGACGGGGUGUAUGCUUUAGGUGAUUGUGCAACAGUAAAUCAACACCGCGUCAUGGUAUCUAUUUAAUGUUUUUCUGCUUAUGCCAUGCAUUGCAGUAUGGUUGAAAGUGUUGAUGCAUGCAUUGUUGUAUGGUAGAAUUUGCCGAUUCUAUGUAUGAUAUUUUGUUGUCAUUGCAUAUCGAUUUGUUGUCAGGAUGAUAUUGUUUCGAUAUUCCGAAGGGCAAAUAAGGACAACUCUGGUACAUUAAGUCUAGAGGAAUUUCAAGAAGUCAUGGAGGACCUCAUGGUAAGGUAUCCUCAACUGAGCCUUCAUUUGAAGAGCAAGCAUAUGAGGUAUAUUAAUGAGUUGCUGGAAAAUAGUUGGAAAAACCCCGAAAGAUGAAAUCGAUAUUGAAACAUUUAAAGCAGCUCUUUCCCAAGCAGAUUCGCAGAUGAAAAAUCUUUCGGCAACUGCCCAGGUUAAUUCAAUAUAUUCACUUCUUUUUCCAUCACAUCUCCUUAUCCUCUAACUCAAAUUCCAUUUCUUUAACUAUUUUUUGUUUUCGAAAUUCUAAUAAUUUAGGUGGCUGCUCAACAAGGUGCCUACCUUGCCGAUUGUUUCAAUCGUAUGGNAACUGGGUAAUUUUCCAGCUCUAUCAAGUAAUACUCCAUUUAAUUGCUUAAUUAAGGUUUUUUGUUUCUCUUUUUCGCUCUUUUAUCAGUUCAUUGGCUUUUGAUGUUGGGCUUAAGUAAAUGGGAAAUCAUUAAUGGGCAUUGUUCAAGAUAUAAUUCUGUGUUUUUGGACUUGUGAAACGAUUUGGCUAAUAAAGAGAGUGGUUUUUUGUAUAUAGAUUGCACAUAUGUGGGCUGAUCUAUCUUUCCUAAUAAAUUUCCGAUCUGUUUCAGGUAUAAAUUUUUCUCAUCCAUUUGCAAACAAGUUUCAGUAUGUUCUUACUUCUCCUCAUGGAAAAAUGUUUUGUUUUUGGCAGCAAAUCACAGUACAAAGCUAAGGCAAUUAUUCUCGCGGUCUUCGUUUUUAUAAUUUAUUUUCUUAGUGAAGGUGUAAUCAUUGUGUAAUUAUCUUUUUUCUUGAUUCGAUUUCUUUUAUUUCUAUGAUAUUUAAUCGGUGGGAGGCUGUUGCAUACCUUGCAUGCAAUAAGUAUAAAAUUUGAUGUCUUUUUCUGAGCUUUCACAACACCCCCCGCGGCCGCGGGGCCACACGGGGGCCCCCCCCUAACACAAAAAAAGUUAUUUUUAAGUGGAAAUGCUGAGUCUUUUUGUUUACAAAGGAUAUCUCUGAUUUCAGCUUGGGUAUCAGGCCUUCUUAAUUGUCAUCUAUUAAUCUUUCCAUUCAUAGUGAAGCUUAAUUGUCAACCUGUUUUGAGGUGGCCACGUGAACCAUUCUGUGUUUGUCUCUGCAUUCUCUUCUUCUAUUAAGAAAUUACAUUUCCUUUCACAACUUCAACCCAAACCAUUAAGCAAACAAACAUAUUCACGGAGGUAGUUGGUGGUUCAAAUACCAAUUUCAGGCAUCGAUACUCCAACUCUGUAUCAACAUUUUUUGGAUUGCAUAGGUUUUUUUUUUUUUGGAGUUGAUAGUAAUGAAAAAUUUCUUUAGUUUCACAUGUGCUUAUCUAUCAUUGUUACCGGGCAAUAAUUUCUUUAGUGCCCUACAUAUUUUGGCUUAUUAGAUUGGCCUUCAUUUGGUGCUUAUCUGUGAUGUUAAUAAUUGAUGGCGGACUUUCUGGGUUGCAAAUUCUCGAACAGAAUUUCUGACUUGCAAAAUCCAUUACAAAACUGAAGACAUUCCUUCUGUUUUUAACUUUUUACCUCUCCAUUGUUGGUUGUGUCAAAAGUACCAAUUUUGUUGAUUUACAUGAACUUCACAAGACAUCAACAACAACAACAACAACAAAGCCUUUUCCCACUAAGUGGGGUCGGCUAUAUGAAUCCUAGAACGCCAUUGCGCUCGGUUUUGUGUCAUGUCCUCCGUUAGAUCCAAGUACUCUAAGUCUUUUCUUAGAGUCUCUUCCAAAGUUGUCCUAGGUCUUCCUCUACCCCUUCGGCCCUGAACCUCUGUCCCGUAGUCACAUCUUCGAACCGGAGCGUCAGUCGGCCUUCUUUGCACAUGUUCAAAAUCACCGGAGCCGAUUUUCUCUCAUCUUUCCUACAAUUUCGGCUACUCCUACUUUACCUCGGAUAUCCUCAUUCCCAAUCUUAUCCUUUCUCGUGUGCCCACACAUCCCACGAAGCAUCCUCAUCUCCGCUACACCCAUUUUGUGUACGUGUUGAUGCUUCACCACCCAACAUUCUGUGCCAUACAACAUCGCUAGCCUUAUUGCCGUCCUAUAAAAUUUUCCCUUGAGCUUCAGUGGCCUACGACGGUCACACACAACACGCCGGAUGUACUCUUUUCCAUCCAGCUCGUAUUCUAUGGUUGAGAUCUCCAUCUAAUUCUCCGUUCUCUUGCAAGAUAGAUCCUAGGUAGCGAAAACGAUCGCUUUUUGUGAUCUUCGCUAGAUUGCUCCGGUCAUUAGUGUGGAUAAGUAUAUAAAUGGAUAGAGAUAGGAAAGCAAACACAAGAUGUACGUGGUUCACCCAGAUUGGCUACGUCCACGGAAUAGAAGAGUUCUCAUUAAUUGUGAAGGGUUUACACAAGUACAUAGGUUGAAGCUCUCAUUUAGUGAGUACAAGUGAAUGAUUUAGUACAAAUGACAUUAGGAAAUAUUGUGGGAGAAUGAUCUCGUAAUCACGAAACUUCUAAGUAUCGGAGUGUGGUGUCGUCUUGACUUGCCUUAUCUGUCUCAUAGGUAGAUGUGGCAUCUUCUCUGGAAGUACUCUUCCUCCAUCCAGGGGUGGUAUCUUUAACUGGUGGAGAUGCACAAGGUAAUGUAUCAAUUUCACUUGAAGCUUACUUGUAGUUUCAGGCUUGGUCAAGCGCGAUACAAACCAUGUAGUAGGAGUCCCCCAAGUCGCCGAGCUAGGGGGUCUGCUGAAAGAGGUGACAGACAAGGUAAGCAAUCAGAGCUCCGACUGAUUGUUCACCUCUCUCCCCAUCUUGCAGCAGCAUGAAGGAUAAAGAGAAAAAAUGAGAAGAGAUGAUAUGAGAUACUUUUGCUUUUGAAGAAGUAACUUUCCACAGGCUUAUUCUUGAACUGAGCUGGAGGGUUUUCUGGUUUUCUCCAGAGUAUAAGGCCGACUGAAGAAUUUGAGGGUCAAAACAAGUCCAUCAAAUCUAGAGUACGUUCCACCCUGCUGAUAUGGGAUACUUUUGCUUUUGACAGAGUAAUGAAUGUAUCGGCACGUGUGCUGUUACGCUUGUCUCCACAUGCUUCCUUGUAUCCUUCGCACUUGCCCUAUCUGUUCCUCAAGCAGAUGCGGAAUCUUCCCUGGAAACAUAAGAUGUUGAAGAUGAGUACUCGAGAGCAAUGCCAGGUAAGUAAUCAGGUAAGGGGUUCCAGGCAGUCAGUUCCUGGCUGGAAGCUUGAUUCCAAGUGCUGACUGAUUGCUCUCUUUCUCCUUGUCUUGCAGGUAAAAACAAGGCCAAAAGAAAAGACAGGGAAAAAGCAUGAUAUGGGAUACUCUUGCUUUUAACCCUGAUGAUAUGAGAUAUUCUUGCUCUAGUAUAGCUUGUUUUGCAGAGGUAUUAUCGGGGGGAAAGAAAGCUGAAUAUUUCGAAAAGCUUCGUUGGGAGUGCCCUCUCAGAUAUGAUGAAGGGUUGAGCAUUUUUGCAGGUCUGCCUGUCCGUUGGGGAUGGAGGUCGACAUAUAUAGGAGUCUCCCUAACAACAAGUAGUAAUGCUAUUCCUUUACCCUGCUUGGUCAUAGCACGGUAGUGGGAGCUGCCAGUUUCACAUGUUUUAACUCUGUCAGAGCACUUUGAAAAAGUGGUCUGUGGUAUCUGGCUCUCGAGAUUCGGAGAACGAUGCCUCUUCGAUUUUUGAGAAAGCAAUCAUGCUGGGGGUAUGACUCUCGAGAUUCGGAGAGCAGUGUCUCUUCGAUUUUUGAGGAAGUAAUCAUGUUGGGAGUCUGGCUCUCGAGAUUCGGAGGGCGGUGCCUCUUCGAUUUUGGAGCAAGCAAUCUUGUUGGGAGUGUUGUCUCGAAUGUGAGUAAAGGUUGGGCAUGUUUGCUAGUCUACCUUGCCACGAAGCACAAAGGUUGACACACAGGGACUUUCCAAUUAUCCAGCAAUGGUACUGUUCCUUUACCCUCUCUUCGAUUUUUGAGAGAAAGUAGUCAUGUUGGGAGUCUGGCUCUCGAGAUUCGGAGGACGGUGCCUCUUCGAUUUUGGAGCAAGCAAUCUUAUUGGGAGUGUUUUCUCGAAUGUGAGUAAAGGUUGGGCAUGUUUGCUAGUCUACCUUGCCACGAAGCACAGAGGUUGACACACAGGGACUUUCCAAUUAUCCAGCAGUGGUACUGUUCCUUUACAGUUGUGGGUAAUAAUAUGGUAGCUAGACCUUCAAAAUUUAUGUGUCUAAACUUUUGUUAGUGCUGUUUCUUUGCUAUUCUUUUACCUUUCUUGGUCAGAGCGAUGUAGUGGGAGCUGCAAGCUUCACGUGCUCAACUUUGGCAGAGAACUUUGGCAAAGUGAUUUGUGGUACCCAUGAGCUAUUGUUGCGUGUGGGAAGUGGGUGAUUGAACAGUAAGAUUCAUGUGCUUUCUACUUCACCAGAAGUCUUCGACAGAAUGCCCAUAAUUUCUGCAAAGCUGAGUGUGCGUGUGACAGGUGCUGACAAGGCUAGAAAAGUAGGUGCCUCUUCGAUUUCUGAGAUCGGCCCUCGUGGUCUCUGAGCAGCCCAGCUUUUGAGAAAGCGAGCGCCUCUUCGAUUGAUUCGGAGAACGAUGCCUCAUCGAUUUUUGAAAAAGCAAUCAUGCUGGGGGUCUGGCUCUCGAGAUUCGGGGAGCAGUGUCUCUUCGAUUUUUGAGAAAGUAAUCAUGUUGGGAGUCUGGCUCUCGAGAUUCGGAGGGCGGUACCUCUUCGAUUUUGGAGCAAGCAAUCUUGUUGGGAGUGUUUUCUCGAAUGUGAGUAAAGGUUGGGCAUGUUUGCUAGUCUACCUUGCCACGAAGCACAAAGGUUGACACACAGGGACUUUCCAAUUAUCCAGCAAUGGUACUGUUCCUUUACCCUCUCUUCGAUUUUUAAGAAAGUAGUCAUGUUGGGAGUCUGGCUCUCGAGAUUCGGAGGACGGUGCCUCUUCGAUUUUGGAGCAAGCAAUCUUAUUGGGAGUGUUUUCUCGAAUGUGAGUAAAGGUUGGGCAUGUUUGCUAGUCUACCUUGCCACGAAGCACAUAGGUUGACACACAGGGACUUUCCAAUUAUCCAGCAGUGGUACUGUUCCUUUACCCUUGUGGGUAAUAAUAUGGUAGUUAGACCUUCAAAAUUUAUGGGUCUAAACUUUGUUAGUGCUGUUUCUUUGCUAUUCUUUUACCCUUCUUGGUCAGAGCGAUGUAGUGGGAGCUGCAACCUUCACGUGCUCAACUUUGGCAGAGAACUUUGGCAAAGUUAUCUGUGGUACCCAUGAGCUAUUGUUGCGUGUGGGAAGUGGGUGAUUGAACAGUAAGAUUCAUAUGUUUUCUACUUCCCCAGAAGUCUUUGACAGAAUGCCCAUAAUUUCCGCAAAACUGAGUGUGCGUGUGACAGGUGCUGACAAGGCUGGAAAAGGCUGGAAAAGUAGGUGCCUCUUCGAUUUCUGAUAUCGGCCCUCGUGGUCUCUGGGGAGCCCAGCUUUUGAGAAAGCGAGCGCCUCUUCGAUUUUUGAGAUCGGCCUUCGUGGUCUUUGAGCAGCCCAACUUUUGAGAAAGCAAACGCCUCUUCGAUUUCUGAGAUCAACCCUCGUGAUCUCUAAGCAGCCCAGCUUUUGAGAAAGCAAACGCCUCUUCGAUUUCUGAGCAGGCGCCUCUCUUCGAUUUCUGAAGCUUCGUCGAGUGCAGAUUUUUAUAGGGGCUGGCAUUAAGUUCCAAAGCACACUUGAAUCUCCACCAGUAGAAGCUUCAUUCUUGCACUUCUAAGAUCUUGAUUUGUCCGACCUCUUCUCUCUUCAACACCUUUGAAAAUGUCUGGCCCCUCCGACCGUCGUUUUGACUUGAACCUUGUUGAAGAGGCAGCCCCGCCUUCUCCAGACAACAUAUGGCGCCCAUCCUUCGUCUCCCCUACUGGUCCUCUUACCGUUGGGGAUUCCGUGAUGAAGAAUGAUAUGACCGCUGCGGUGGUGGCCAGGAACCUUCUCACUCCCAAAGAUAACAGACUACUUUCCAAACGGUCUGAUGAGUUAGCUGUUAAGGAUUCGCUGGCUCUCAGUGUUCAGUGUGCAGGUUCUGUGUCUAAUAUGGCCCAACGCCUAUUUGCUCGAACCCGCCAAGUUGAAUCAUUGGCGGCUGAAGUGAUGAGUCUCAAACAGGAGAUUAGAGGGCUCAAGCAUGAGAAUAAACAGUUGCACCGGCUUGCACAUGACUAUGCUACAAACAUGAAGAGGAAGCUUGACCAGAUGAAGGAAACUGAUGGUCAGGUUUUACUUGAUCAUCAGAGAUUUGUGGGUUUGUUCCAAAGGCAUUUAUUGCCUUCGUCUUCUGGGGCUGUACCGCGUAAUGAAGCUCCAAAUGAUCAACCUCUGAUGCCUCCUCCUUCUAGGGUUCUGUCCAGUACUGAGGCUCCAAAUGAUCCCCCUCCGGUGCCUUCUCUUUCUGGGGCUCUACCGACUGCUGAGACUUCUCCUAAGCAACCUUUGUGAAGGCUCCCUCUUGUGUGCUUAUUUUGACUCAUGUAUAUGUACAUAUUUGUAGCUUAUCGGGGAUAUCAAUAAAUAAGCUUUCCUUCAUUUCAACGUAUUGUGUUAAAUACACCAAAGCCUUCUUCGCUAAGUUCUUUGAAUUUUCUUUUGUUAAAGCUUGUAUGUUGAAGCUUUCUGAGUGGAGCAUGUAGGUUGGGGUAGUGUUCCCUUAAUUUCCCGAGUGAGGAAAACUUCUCGGUUGGAGACUUGGAAAAUCCAAGUCACUGAGUGGGAUCGGCUAUAUGAAUCUUAGAACGCCAUUGUGCUCGAUCCUGUGUCAUGUCCUUCGUUAGAUCCAAGUACUCUAAGUCUUUUCUUAGAGUCUCUUCCAAAGUUUUCCUAGGUCUUCCUCUACCCCUUCGGCCCUGAACCUCUGUCCCAUAGUCGCAUCUUCUAAUCGGAACGUCAGUAGGCCUUCUUUGCACAUGUCCAAACCACCGUAACCGAUUUUCUCUCAUCUUUCCUUCAAUUUCGGCUACUCCUACUUUACCCCGGAUAUCCUCAUUCCUAAUCUUAUCCUUUCUCGUGUGCCCACACAUCCAACGAAGCAUCCUCAUCUCCGCUACACCCAUUUUGUGUACGUGUUGAUGUUUCACCGCCCAACAUUCUGUGCCAUACAGCAUCGCCGGCCUUAUUGCCGUCCUAUAAAAUUUUCCCUUGAGCUUCAGUGGCAUACGGCGGUCACACAACACGCCGGAUGCACUCUUCCACUUCAUCCAUCCAGCUUGUAUUCUAUGGUUGAGAUCUCCCUCUAAUUCUCCGUUCUUUUGCAAGAUAGAUCCUAGGUAACGAAAACGGUCGCUCUUUGGUAUUUCUUGAUCUCCGAUCCUCACCCCUAACUCGUUUUGGCCUCCAUUUGCACUGAACUUGCACUCCAUAUAUUCUGUCUUUGAUCGGCUUAGGCGAAGACCUUUAGAUUCCAACACUUCUCUCCAAAGGUUAAGCUUUGCAUUUACCCCUUCCUGAGUUUCAUCUAUCAACACUAUAUCGUCUGCGAAAAGCAUACACCAAGGAAUAUCAUCUUGAAUAUGUCGUGUUAACUCAUCCAUUACCAACGCAAAAAGGUAAGGACUUAAGGAUGAGCCUUGAUGUAAUCCUACAGUUAUGGGAAAGCUUUCGGUUUGUCCUUCAUGAGUUCUUACGGCAGUCUUUGCUCCUUCAUACAUAUCCUUUAUAGCUUGGAUAUAUGCUACUCGUACUCCUUUCUUCUCUAAAAUCCUCCAAAGAAUGUCUCUUGGGACCCUAUCAUACGCUUUUUCCAAAUCUAUAAAGACCAUGUGUAAAUCCUUUUUCCCAUCUCUAUAUCUUUCCAUCAAUCUUCGCAAGAGAUAGAUUGCCUCCAUGGUUGAGCGCCCUGGCAUGAACCCGAAUUGGUUGUCCGAAACCCGUGUCUCUUGCCUCAAUCUAUGCUCAAUGACUCUCUCCCAGAGCUUCAUUGUAUGACUCAUUAGCUUAAUACCCCUAUAGUUCAUGCAAUUUUGUACGUCGCCCUUAUUCUUGUAAAUAGGCACCAAAGUGCUCAUUCGCCACUCAUUUGGCAUCUUCUUCGUUUUCAAAAUCCUAUUGAAAACGUCAGUGAGCCAUGUUAUACCUGUCUCUCCCAAAAGUUUCCACACUUCGAUUGGUAUAUCGUCUGGGCCUAUUGCUUUUUUAUGCUUCAUCUUCUUCAAAGCUACAAUCACUUCUUCCUUCCGGAUUCGACGAUAAAAAGAGUAGUUUCUACACUCUUCUGAGUUACUCAACUCCCCUAAAGAAGCACUCAUUUCAUGUCCUUCAUUGAAAAGAUUAUGAAAAUAACCUCUCCAUCUGUCUUUAACCGCGUUCUCUGUAGCAAGAACCUUUCCAUCCUCAUCCUUGAUGCACCUCACUUGGUUUAGGUCCCUUGUCUUCUUUUCCCUUGCUCUAGAUAGUUUAUAGAUAUCCAACUCUCCUUCUUUGGUAUCUAGUCGUUUAUACAUAUCGUCGUAAGCCGCUAACUUAGCUUCUCUGACAGCUUUCUUCGCCUCUUGCUUCGCUUUUCUAUACCUUUCACCAUUUUCAUCAGUCCUCUCCUUGUAUAAGGCUUUACAACAUUCCUUCUUAGCCUUCACCUUUGUUUGUACCUCCUCAUUCCACCACCAAGAUUCCUUUUGGUGUGGGGCAAAGCCCUUGGACUCUCCUAAUACCUCUUUUGCUACUUUUCGGAUACAACUAGCCAUGGAAUCCCACAUUUGGCUAGCUUCCCCCUCUCUAUCCCACACACAUUGGGUGAUUACCUUCUCUUUGAAAAUGGCUUGUUUUUCUUCUUUUAGAUUCCACCAUCUAGUCCUUGGGCACUUCCAAGUCUUGUUCUUUUGUCUUACUCUUUUGAUAUGUACAUCCAUCACCAACAAGCGAUGUUGAUUAGCCACGCUCUCUCCUGGUAUAACUUUGCAAUCCUUACAAGUUAUACGAUCCCCUUUCCUCAUUAGAAGAAAAUCUAUUUGUGUUUUUGACGACCCACUCUUGUAAGUGAUCACAUGUUCUUCUCUCUUCUUAAAGAAGGUGUUGGCUAAGAAGAGAUCAUAUGCCAUUGCAAAAUCCAAGAUAGCUUCCCCAUCCUCGUUUCUCUCCCCAAAACCAUGGCCACCAUGAAAACCUCCAUAGUUGCCUGUCUCCCUGCCCACGUGUCCAUUUAAAUCUCCUCCUAUAAAUAACUUCUCCGUCUGAGCAAUUCCUUGCACCAAGUCUCCAAGAUCUUCCCAAAAUUUCUCCUUCGAACUCGUAUCCAACCCUACUUGAGGUGCGUACGCACUAAUCACAUUGAUAAGUUCUUGUCCUAUUACAAUCUUGAUUGCCAUGAUUCUAUCUCCUACCCUCUUGACAUCUACAACAUCUUGUACCAAGGUCUUGUCCACGAUGAUGCCAACACCGUUUCUCGUUCUAUUUGUGCCCGAAUACCAAAGUUUAAACCCUGAGUUUUCUAGAUCCUUUGCCUUACUACCAACCCACUUAGUUUCUUGUAGGCACAUAAUAUUUAUCCUUCUCCUCACCAUAACUUCCACUACUUCCAUAGAUUUUCCCGUUAAGGUUCCUAUAUUCCACGUUCCUAAACGCAUUUUGCUCUCUUGAACUCUACCCUUCUGUCCUAGCUUCUUCACCCUCCCCCGUCUAAUAGGAUCAAAGUACUUCUUUUGUGUGUCCCGGGUAAAGUUGAUAGGAGCAUAUGCUCCCAAACAACUUUGGGUGGAGUCGUUCGAAAAGAAGUUUCUAUGGCCCCCUUGCUCAUUUAACACUGCAUCCGGGUGCCGAUGGAGAUACAGCGACCCUUGCUCACUUAUCACUGUGCUCAGGCCACACAGCGCGCCACUUACGGGUGACGCCCUAGCUUUAGCGCGAUUUUGUUCUGGAUUCAUUUUCAUAAGGAUUCGACGUGAUCAUGGAGUGCCGGCUGUCGACUACCUGACGCCCUCCCCCUCCUCCUUUAUCCGGGCUUGGGACCGGCCAUGUAAGACAUAGGCGGAGUUGAACUUCACAAGACAUGCAACCAAAAAAAAAAAAAAAAAGAACAAGGCACUGCCUGAAGAUGAGACAUCUAACAGACGAGUUUCUGUUUUGAAUCUAUUGUAGUUAUUUGGUCUUGCAGUUUUAGUUAUCAAUUCAGUUCCUCCAUUGCUAAUAUUACUGUCUCCAUUUAGCUUCUUCAUAGAAUAUUUCUACUAAAUUUUUCAGGCUGAAGAGGAUGACGAGAAUAUUAGUGGUGAAUUGUAUUCCAGUUUAAUUAGGGGGAGAACAUGUAAACUUAUUCUACGUUUUCUUUCAUUUUUAGUUGAGCAUUUAUUGGUAUUUUCCAUAAAUUUUUGGAUUGUUAAUGUUUGACUUUGAUGAUUGUGGCGUUUCAGAGGUAUAUCCCAAACCUAAUAAUUUUGUUUGGUUUUUCUUCCUUUUUUGCUUCUCUUCUUUUGAUUUCCCGUAUAUGUAUUCUGCAUUUUCCUAUGGCGGUUUUGAACCUUUUCUUUUCUAAAUUUGUAUGCAUUAUGGGUCGUCAUUUAAUCUGCUUAAUUAUCGUUGUGAUCAACUAAGAUAUCACUUUUUCAUACACUGUAGACUUUGAGUUACUGGUUGAAUUAUGAAUUGAGAAGUGGAUAAUACCAUAAAAAAAAUUGCUAGGAGUAGGAGGAUGUUCUUGGCACACUAUAAGAAGUUUUCUUUUUCUUUUUGGCAAGUUCUUCAUAUUCAUGAUUCCGUUAUCAGUGCAUUUGCUUUCCCAUGAUUUCUCAUAAAUUGGACGUGAAUGUAUUUAUAGAUAUUUAUUUUUUUAGCCAAACAAAUGAUUUGAUUGAGCAAAAGGUGCAUCAACCAUAUAUUAUUACUACACUGUACGAGGCCUCGGCAUUACAAGGUCUUGAAAUUACCUCUCUCUUUUUUGGUUUUUGACAGAUUAUAUGAGAUUUUAUUGCUGUUAGUUUGAUGAAGUUCUCGAUUCAUGACCAUAUUUUUUUUCAACUUCUACCAUUUGGUUUCUAUUGACUUUAACUCUGAGUUGUAGUGGUGUUUGUGUUUUCUAAAUUUCUUCCAAUAGCUUAGUUUUAGUUUGAUUUUGUUUGCAUAUAUCUCUUCAGAGCAAUUCUUGGAGUUGCAAUCUUACCAGCUACAAAAAGGAAAGUUAUUGAGAAAAUCUGGAGAGAAGGGCCUCCUAAAUUAUUAUGGCCACCAGAAGCUGUAAGUACUUUUUUAGAUCAUUCAACAGGGAGAUGGUAUUCUCCAUGACAAAUGCUCCAAAAGCAAUAACUCAUUUUCUCCUGGAUUGACCAAAAUAUCAACUUCAAAGCAAGUUUUGUCGGGUGUAACAACAUUUGUAGGGCAACAAACAUUUAACUAAUCAGAUUUAAUUUAGGGCAAUUUUGGAUUUGCAUUCAUUUGUUUUGUUUUGUAAUUUUAUAAGCAAUUUUGAGUUUGUGUGAAAAAUAAUAUUGUUUUUCAUCCUCUCUCUCUCUCAUGUUUUUGGGGAGUUUGAGUCCUAAGUGUGUUUCUGUUUCUGGGUUUUGAGUGUUUUGUUGUUUUCUUCUGGUAAAGUAUUGUUCUUGCUGUAAAAGUGGCAAUCAGUGCUGUGUAUUUUAUGCAUGAUAAAACUUAGUGUAGUACUGUGGUGCUCAUUUUUGGUUAAAAGUUAAAAGAGUCUUAUUAAGAUUUUGGUUGAUUUUUAUCCAACUUAGACCAAACUUCAGCUUAUACUAUCAAGAAACAUGUUAUCACAUGACUAAAAUCAUCUAUUUACAUUGAUAAACAUUCAAUUACGACAUGAUUGAUAUGGAUAUAUAGAUCCAAUAGCUUUAGCUAUAUGUUUUAGUUUUACACAUGAAAAUUGAAUAUAUCAAUUUUAAAACUUUCAACCAUGUUAUUCAACAGAUGCCAUAAACUGCCAUAUUUUUAUGUCUAGAAAAAGAAUUUAUAUGCAACAUGAUCAGAAUGACUACAUAAACUACUUAUAAAAUAUCUUUUCAAAUACAUAAGGGGAAAAAGUGAUGGUUCUCAACGCGUCUUUAUUGUUGCCCAAGUUUUUGCUAAUUUUGAAAGCUAUGAAUUGCUAAUGGGCUUACCCCUUUUUUGUGUGGAAUUUUCAGAGUUUUGGGUCGUCGGAGGAAGAACUUAGUUGCUUGACAUUUUGAGGUAUAUACAUUACUAUACUUUUGUUUUAGUUUCUUCAAUUAGAUACAGUUAAUUCACACCAAUGCUUUUGUUUCUGUUGGGUUUUGAGUUUAAACCUUAUCCUUAAUCAUUUGGUGGGUUUUUGAAACUUUGGAAUCAGAUUUUCAAUUGGUUUUGUGAAGUCCUAACUUUUAAUUUCAUUUGGGUCUGACCUUUAGUUUAAAACUUAUCUGAAAUCAUUUGGUGGGUGUUUGCAACUUUGGAAUUAGAUUUUUAAUUGGUUUUGUGAAGUCCUAACUUUUAUUUUCAUUUGGAUAUGACCUUUUAGCUGUCAUUGAAAAUAAUCAUAAAAGUAAAGUUGUGCAUUCUUAAUUUAGUCUUUGGCAAGCCAUCAUGCAUGAUAACCAAGUAACUGGUUUUUGGUAAAUAUUGAUUUUGGAAAAUUCUUAGUUUAAAUUUCUAGGUUCUGAUGAAUUCUUCAUUUAGAGUUGGUGACCAACAAUCGACCCACCACCAAGUUUAGAUCAAGAUUCGAGCAUGCCUUAAAAGUGUAAGUCAUUUUUCCAUUCUAUUUUGUUGAUUUUGUCAUCUGGGUUUCCUAGAAAACUCGCACCUCGGUUCAUUUCUGACUAGGGUGUUACCUUUUUAUCUGUAUUGUUUGGCAGGUUUCAGAAAGCUCGCAUUCAAGUUUGGCUCUUUGAGUAGGACUUCAGGAUUGAAGGUUGAAUUAUUGUAAGUCUGUUUUCUUUUUCUUUUGUAAACGAAAUUUGAAUUAUGUUCAACUAUGGUUUAUAGUUAUUUUGUUGAUGUUGUUACACUACUCAAGAUUGCUAAUCUUAUACCAAUUGUCUUUAAUAGAUUUUGCAGAAUCACAUUUGUGGAAUAAUUUCUUGAAACUCAUUUGUUAUUUUUCCUUUAUGCUUCCACGACUUCACAACUUUAUAGUCGACCUUGCUAUCCCACUGUUGAAUCUGAUUAAUUUGUCAAAAAAAUUCCAAGUUUACGUAUUCUGGAAUAUAUAUAUAUAUAUAUAUAUAUAUAUAUAUAUAUAUAUAUCAUUCCAUAACAUAAUGCAUGUAGAUAGGAAAAAUUACCAUCUUUUGUAUGUGGAUUGAAUCGCAAAAUCUUUUGUGUGUAAAACUUUUUCCAACAUUUUCAAUGUAAAUAGUAUUAAUCUUCAAUCACACAAUCUAUUAUAUAUUUCAAAGAUAAUCUUUCAUACAAUUUCAAAUCCCGCAGCAACACGCAGGUAAAAAUUUCUAGUACAAACUAAAGUUGUUUCUCCUAUUAAAAUAUGUCCGUUGAAAUGUAUUAUAUAUGAAGAUGGGCAGGUUGUUUCUCCUAUGAAAAUAUGUCCAUUGUUUCUCCUAUGAAUAGCUGUAAUCACAUCCAAGAAUCUUUUGGAUAGUCUUUGUCCUUUCGUUCCUCUUUUCUUCUCUCUUUCUUUGCACCUUCCGGCCAACAUUAUGUCGUUUCUCAAGUCCAUACGCCAACAUUAUAAUAUUAUAAACUUUUGUUUUGUUGACUGAAGGAGCGUGAUUGGGCUCCAGGAUUUCAGUAUCAUCGGAUCAGUAACACAAACAUAACCACUAUCCUUUUUUUUCAGUCGUGAUCUGAACCACUGCGGUGCCACAACAAUGGAUACCGCCAUGACAGCCUGCGAAGCCGCCUCUUCAUCCUCCUCCAUGUCAAAACUUUGGAAUCACGACGUGUUCUUGAGCUUCAGAGGCGAAGACACGCGUAGUGGCUUUACGGGCCACCUCCACGCAGCAUUAACAGACAGGGGAUACCAGGCUUAUAUCGAUGAGGAAGAUCUAAAAAGAGGGGAAGAAAUAAAAGAAGCUGUUCUGGGCAAUCGAAGAGUCAAAGAUCUCUAUCAUUGUCUUCUCAAAGAGGUAUGCGGAUUCGAGUUGGUGUCUUGAUGAGCUGGUGAAGAUCAUGGAGUGCAGAUCCAAAUUGGGACGACGUGUUUUGCCAAUAUUCUAUCAUGUUGAUCCUUCACAUGUCAGGAAUCAGAACGGAGAUUUAGCUCAAGCAUUUCAGAAGCACGAAGAGGGCAUCCGUGAAGAAAAAGAUGACAAGGAACGUGAAGCUAAACAAGAAAGGGUAAAGCAAUGGAGAAAGGCUCUUGCAGAAGCUGCAAAUUUGUCUGGCCACCAUUUUCAAAUCACAGACAAUGGGUAAUCAUUCACCUGCUUUUCAAGAUUUGAAACAUGUUGGUGAAUGACUUAAUCUCUCAUAUAAUUAACAUUUUACAGAAGCUAAAACCUAAACCGUAAUUGGAGUUUAAUUUAUGAAUGGCUUUCUUUCUUUUAUUCAAGUUCGUCACAAAAUCACAUACGAGCUAGUUAGUAUAAAUAAUAUAUAUGAAGGAAAGAUAAUUAUUUAUGUAUUGAUAGCUCCUACUGAGCUUUCAUUGAGUCCCACUAAUGCUUACGAAUUCAAUUUUCAGGCGUGAAGCAAAGGUUAUUAGAGAAAUUGUUGACAAAAUUAUUAAGGAAUGGCUUCCGAACGCAGACAAAUUACAUGUGGCCAAGCACCAAGUUGGAAUCAAUUCUCGCAUUCAGAAUAUUAUCACUCAUCUUUCAAGUGGUGGAUUAAAUGAUGUCGUCAUGAUUGGGAUUUGGGGGAUGGGUGGAUUGGGUAAAACAACAGUUGCCAAAGCCAUUUAUAACCAAAUUCAUUCUAAGUUUGAAUUCAAAAGUUUCCUGGCCGACGUUAGCAACAAUACAAGUAAACAUGGUCUGGUUAAUUUGCAAGAAAAACUUAUUUCUGACAUCUUGAAAGAGAAACUUCACAUAAGCAGUGUUGAUGAAGGUAUCAGUAUGAUAAAACAUUAUCUCCAACAUAGACGGGUACUUGUCAUCAUAGACAAUAUAGAUGAAGUGGAACAACUGGAUGCAAUAGCUGGAAAACGUGAUUGGUUUGGUCCAGGGAGUAGAAUAAUCAUUACGACACGAGAUGAACAUUUACUAAAGCAAGUGGACAUGACAUAUAUGGCUCAGGAAAUGAAUGAAGAAGAAGCUCUUGAGCUUUUUAGUUGGCAUGCAUUUGAAAAUAGUUGGCCUGAUGAAGGAUAUCUUGAACUCUCAAAAAAGGUUGUUUCUUACUGUGGAGGUUUGCCGCUAGCACUUGAAAUUUUAGGUUCUUUUUUUAUUAAAAGAACCAUAGGAGAGUGGGAAAGUCAAUUGGAGAAAUUGGAAAGAACUCCUCAUGGAAAAAUAAUAAAACCACUAAGAAUAAGCUUUGAAGGGCUCGAUGAUACACAGAAGGCCAUAUUCCUUGACAUAUCUUGUUUCUUUAUUGGAUGGAAGAAGGACUAUGUCGCAAAAGUAUUAGAUGCAUGUGGAUUUUUUGCAACAAUAGGAAUCAGUGUUCUUUGUGAACGAUGCCUUGUAACUGUUGAACGCAAUGAGUUGAAUGUGCAUGAUUUGCUUCGAGAAAUGGCCAAAGUAAUCAUUUUUGAAAAAUCCCCUGGCCACCCUGAAAAAUGGAGUAGGUUGUGGAAUCCUCAAGAUGUCACCGACGUAUUGACAAAUAAAUCUGUAAGUACAUUCCCAAUAUAAUUUUGGAUUAAUACAUAUAUAAACCACGUAUGUCUAUUAUACAUUAAACAUCAUUCAUGUGUAUCUGUAGUUGCACAAGGAGAGCUCCAUUAGCCAACAAUAGUACUUGCAUAUAUUCACCCACAUGAUUUUGCCUAAUCAAUAAUACUUGCAAUUCCUUCUUGGGUGAUGAACUCAUUCCCUCACUUGCAAAUUUCAUAAUCGAAGAUCGUUUAGUCAAAUAUAUCAAAUAAAUCAAUGAUGUAGGUAUCAAGUGACAUAUUAAUAAUAAAUCGUCUAUUUAUUUGAUAAAUUUGAAUGACUAGAUUAAACAAUCCCUGAUUCAAAUGAUGUUUUUGUAAGGAUGAUAUUCAAAGAUUAAGAAAUUGAACGGUUCUAAAUAUGAAAAUUAUAUGAUGUUCAAAAGGGGAACAUGAAAAAUUGAAAUUUGUAUGAUAUGGUUGUAGAUUAUUGAAUUAAUUAAUUAAGUGUUGAUUAACAUGCUUGUUCUUAUUUGUGACACAUCAUUUGGUUAGCAAAUUUAGUUAAAAAAUUUGGUGUCCUAGCAUUACCUUUCCGAAUAUGAAAUGUUAAGUUUGUAUGAUUUUUUUGUAAGUAUAACUUCUUUUUUUUUUUUUUUUUUAACAGGGAACUAGAAAAAUUGAAGGACUAAGUCUAGAUUUGCAAAGCUCUGAUACGGCUAGUUUCAGUACAGUAGCAUUUGCCAAAAUGAAGAAACUGAGAUUGCUUAAGCUCCGCUACGUAGAGCUCAAUGGAGAAUACAAACAUCUUCCCAAAGAGUUAAUAUGGUUGUGCUGGAAAGGAUGUCCUUUAAAGUCCAUACCAGAUGAUUUUUUUAAUCAACCAAAACUAGUUGUUCUAGACAUGCAGUGGAGUAAACUGGUACAAGUUUGGGAGGGUUCCAAGGUACAAUCAAUUACACAUGAUGAUGUUCUGUUUCUAUUUGUUUUUGGAUUUCCUUCUCUUUUUUUAUGAGAACUUCUUUUUCGAUAUUAAUUUCAAUUUUUCUUUGGUUUUGUGCCACAGUCGCUUCAGAAGUUGAAAAUCAUGAAUCUCAGUUGCUCCCUUUCCCUAAUUAAAUCGCCAGACUUUUCAGAGCUCCCAAAUCUUGAAGAGUUAAUAUUGGAAGGCUGUGACAGUUUGUCCGAGAUUCACCCCUCCAUUGGUCAUCUCGAAAGACUCUCUUUGGUAAACCUUAGAAACUGUUCCAGUCUUAGUUCUCUUCCGAGGGAUUUCUAUAAGUCGAAAUCUGUUGAGAUUCUUCAUCUUAAUUUAUGUGAUAAAUUCAGAGAACUGCAUGAGGAUUUAGGGGAGAUGAUAUCAUUGAGAAUACUUGAAGUAGAUAGUACAUCCAUAAGACACAUACCACCUUCCAUAGUAAGAUUGAAGAAUCUCGCUCGUUUAUCCCUAGGAAAUGUGAAAAAAAUUCGUUUGCCCUAUUCGUUACACGGCUUAAACUCUUUAAGGAGUGUGAAUCUCGCAUGGUGUGAUUUAACUGAAGAUGAAAUCCCGAAGGAUCUCUGGAGUCUAAGUUCCUUACAAUACUUGUAUCUUCGUGAGAAUGAUUUUCAUACCCUACCCAGCCUCAGUGGUCUUUCAGAGCUUGAAAUAUUGUGGUUAACUUCAUGCAAAAAUCUUCAUACAAUCUUGGGAUUACCAACAAGUUUGAGUUCUAUGUAUGCCGUUGAUUGCCCUGCAUUGGAAACAAUGCCGGAUUUUUCAGAAAUGUCAAAUAUGAGAAAACUGAAUGUAAGUGAUUCACUCAAACUCACUGAGGUUCCAGGCUUGGAUAAGUCAUUAAAUUCCGUGGUAAGGAUUGAUAUGCAAGGGUGCACUAAUCUCACAGUUGAUUUUAAGAAGAACAUCUUACAGGUAUAUCUCUCUCUCAUUGCCUUCCUAUCAUGCACAUGCACACACAAACGCACAUGUAUAUAUAUGACACUUGCAUUGUAUAUGUAGGGAUGGACUUCUUGCGGAUUUGGUGGCGUUUUCUUCCCUGGGAAUUAUGUUCCCGAUUGGUUUGAGUUUGUCAAUGAUCAUGGCAGUAAAGUCAGUUUUGAUAUCCCCUCGAGCGAUGGUCGUAAUUUUGAAGGGCUGACUCUAUUAUGCUCGUACUCCUGCAAUAUAUCAGUUCGUCCUCCUACAAUUGUCAUUACUGUAAUAAAUUAUACUAAGCGUACCGAAUUGCGGACCAGCAUAAUCAAAGAACAUCGGAAUAGAAUAUUCUACAAACCUGAAUCCCAUCAUAUUUGGCAGGGACAAUUAUCGAACGAUAAGCUCAGUUUGCAAGGCGGGGAUAGAGUUGAAGUUGAUAUAAAUUUAGUGGGAUCUUAUACCUCUACGUUUGCUUCUUAUACAUUGAAUAGAAUAGGGGUUAAUCUAGUAUGGGACAAACCUAUGAAGGAAAAUGUGCGUAAUUUGAUUUCGGGCAAAGGUGGUUAUGUUUUUGACCCACAUCCAGCUAGGUUCUAUGGUGAGGCACAAUCAAGAUGGUGAUGCAUAUCAUCAUCACGCUUAUCAUUACAUAUGUAAGCCAUAUCACAAUCAGUUCAUCAAACACCUCUUGUGUUUUUUGCUUUCCCGAUUAGAUAAUGAAGACAAGUACAUAUUUCAUACUUCAGAUUCCUAUGAUUUUUUUCAAUUAGUUGUUUUGAAUUAGCGGUAGGUCUCGGGUUCGAGACUUGGGAGCAGCCUCUUCAUAAAUGGGGGUAAGGCUAGCCGACAUUCACCUCUCCCAGACCCUGCGUAAAGCGGGAGCCUUGUGCACUGGGUACGACCUUUUUUAGUUGUUUUGAAUUUUGGAGAUAUAUUGCAUCUAGAAACAUUUCAACAUUACAAGCAGCCAUAUAAGACAUUCAUCAAAAUAUUUGACAAAUACUACUCGUAUUCGCAAAAAUAUUGGGCCUACUUCCACCACAUAUUCCAGGAAUUUACUUUUAAGGUUUGAAAAUCAGUGAUAACCUCAAGAAGCCAGUCAAUAUAUGGUUUCCACUACUUUUUCAUUAUUCUUGACUUGCCCUGAUAUGUUAGCAGAAGGUUUGGAUUACCUUUUCUACUAUCUUUGCAGUCGAUGAACUCGUUUGCACAAUCAAAAAAUAGUUAGUCUUCUAUUGGAUUCCCCAAAACUGUAGACGAAAUUGUUUGUAAGAUCGUAAAGUUUUUCCUGUUAUGAUUAAAAAGCUCGUUUCAAGACUCAGAAAUGAUGGAUUGCUCAAUAGAAUAUCUCGUAAAUUUUCUCCACUUCCCUUUCACUCUCGACUGAUGUGUUCAUAAGCUUCUACUACGGUUUUAGUUUCCACUAGUGAUGGUGCCCCACCCAAUUUUGUAUGUUAAAACGAUCAUCGAUCGACCGAGUGGAGAUUAUUUUCCGAUACGUGAUUUUACAGUUUUGCCUUUGGUUCUUAAUUUCCAGUAAUGUUGCAGCUUUAGGCUUUUCUUUUGGCUUCUUGGCUUCCAAGUUACAAAGCUUCAAAUUUAGGUGGACAAAUAUUAUUUGGUUUUUCUGUUAAUUAUUUGGUAAUUAAAAGCAUCGUUUUGCGGACUCGUAGAGAAGAACUGUAGAACAAUUUAUAUAUCGUGAGUACACUAUUAUGAUAUGCCGUACGAAUAUACAUUUAGAGGAGUUUACACAUGUAUCAUCAGCAUAAGAUAUUGUUUUAGCAGUGUACUCGUACAAUGUAAGUUUGAAGUCAGAAUAGCUAAUUAAGACCAUACGGACCAAUUGGCAAUUUGCUAAUACUUUUGAAUGACACAAACGACCUCUUGGUAGCCUGCUUUGAUGUGUACAGAGCCCUUCUUCUCGUCGAUCUCCGAUGCGUAUACGAUCUUCAUAGAAAUCAGGCUUAGCCAUAUUGGUUUAGGACAUCUUGUAUCUUUUUGUACUCAAGUUUAACUCUCCUCUCUGUAAGCAAUGGUGGAUUUAGAUUUGAACUUUGUAUGGUCCCAAUUUUAAAGUAGAAGUUUUUUAGAUAGAAACAGAACAUGCUUGCAAAAAUUGUAUCAUUUUAUGCAAAAAUUGUAUCACUUUAUUCACUGAGGCGUUUUGUCGUCAAACAAACUAUAUUGCACACAUGUCAACAGAUAUCGACAUAUGCUGAAGAAAGCCGAUGAGUGAUAUCGAGAGAAUUUGUAGAGUGUUGUCGACACAACCAGUCGAGAUAAUGCCUAGCAUAUAUUUCAUCAAACAAACACCUGGUAGACACAAAAGGGACCCAUACUAAACGUUUGGAGAGUCCUCAGAAAACCUUCACAUGUAUAUUUCUCGGAUCAUGGGACCACCUUGAUCCCAAUGUACAUCCGUCUUGCCUGUAAGUAUAAUAUCGCUUGAACACAUGCCAAAUAUUUAAGGGGUGUGCUAUCCACACACUCAUUUUUACUUCUCACACACCCCUUGUUAAUUUAUGUUCGUUGAUCUUCUCCAAUUCAUCUGAUCUGACAGCUAAAAACUACAAAAGUGUGGGAAAAGUAAAAAGAGGUGUGUGGAUAUCACACCCCACAUUUAAACCACCAAUCACAAACUUAAAAAAGAUAAUAGAAACACUUCCAAGGACCCACAAUAUAUUUGCUAUUUCAAUAAUAUAACAAAUAAUGACAUGCUAAGAUUCUUCUAAACCACAUUUGCUCACACUACAAUGAUUACAUAUGGAGAAGAAAGUGUUAUGAAUUCACAACACUCUAUGGUACUGGAUAGGAAGACUUAAAAUGCUUAACUGGUGUGUAUUUUUCUUUCCCUCCUUAAUCUUCACACAUUACGAACCGGAAGUUGCAGUCAGUUCACCGGUGUUAAGUGCCAGCAGCGCUGCUGCCCAUGGAGGCCUGAGGAGGCUCUUCUCGGAGUAUGCAAAGAGUUUUGAUCCUCGAGGGCGAGGCUUGGACACUCCCAUAUGUACAACGGAUGAAUGUGGCAAGAUGUAAACAUAAACUUAAGCGGAUUGCACCGUUUAUAUGCUUUCCCAUAUGAUUGGAGCAACUAGCAUCCAUACUGCAACAACACAAAAUUUUCCUUUUAGUCAUGACGAGAUUUUAGUUAGAGCGCAUUCAAUUUUGUUUAGCGUUAUAUACUCACAAUACACGCAGACCGCGAUCCACUCGUUCACAAUCCUCACCCAAGUGCUGGCCCAUCCCACAUCAAUCGUAAACCUGCAGAAUGAAGUGACUUGUUGAGCAAGCAAGAAAGAACGGAGUUCAGUUUUAAUUCACAAACAAGGUGGUGAAAAAUACCUUCUCAUGGAUUGAUGAGUAUUCCAACCAAUCAGCAGCAUUCCAAAGUACAUUGCUCCCGUGGCAAAAACAAAGUGGAAGAAUCCAUAACCAUAUGGAACAUCAUCCUCGGAUUCAGUCUCGUCCUUCCUGAACUGCAGAUGAUGUCAGGCUCAUUCUAAAGGAAACAUAGAUGAUUGAUUAAAAGUUAUUCAGACGGUAGAGCAAACCUGAAAGCAUUUGGAAUCUAUGCCGGUUGAGAAUGUUGCGAUAACCAUUGCAAGCACGGCUAUAACAAAGCUCUGUCAACAAAUAAGUCAUUGUCAUGAUUUCGUGUAGAGAAAAGAGAUAUCUGUGUGCAAUAUUAAGAGUAGAGUAUUACUAUGAUGGUGAGCCAAUCUGUUUUUGGUUGAAUCAUCUCUGCCUUCUUUCUUGUUGCAGCUUGUCCCCGCUGGCUCACUGCACUCGAAAGCAACAAUUAUGGAUCAACGGAAUUCACAAAUAUACCAGAGUCACACGUUUAGAUUUUCAUUCGAAGCUAGUGAUCAACUGGAUGAUUGAUUUUGAAAGAUUAUGCAUCAAUGCCGGAUAACAUCUGCAAAAUCUCAAAUUGCACUAACGGUGGUUCACACAGAAGAGACUUAAAACCGUACCUUCUAAUAGCAAACCAGCAGAUGAAUACUAUAUAAAGGCCCAUGAGACCCGGAGUCAAGAUGCCAGCAUUCACCUGUUCGGGGUGGAAUUUAACAAGCAAACUCACAUUAAAACAAGGCUGAAGCCCCUGAAUGCAGGGUGAUUAGCAGAACUUACUUUCGGGUGGAGAGAGACACUGGUCAUGAGUUGUAGGAGUACUAAUGUCCAGGUUAUGAAAAAGAUGUUGAGGAGGCAAGUUGGUUCCGGUGCAUACCAUAUGUACAUCAAUAUGAUCCCCACUAAGCAUACAACAUAUGCAGCAGUUGCAAGUAACAUCACAUGAAUCCGGCUGCAGUGCAAACCUAAAGUUAAAUCAGCCUGAGUAACGCUAUGGCUAGUAGCUACAUCGAAUUUGUUUCCAAAGUCCACAAAAAAUGGCAACCCGAUUUAGCUUGAACAAAGUCUUACCAUCUUUCUGAUUUGGUAGACUGACAACAAUCGUUCAGCCACGUAAUGAAACUGAUUAUGCUUAUUAGCUGAAUCAAGAGAAAAACCCUGAUAAAACAAUCCCAAAACUUGUUAUAAGAAUACCCAAGAAACACAUUUCGAAAGGGGAAAAGAAAGUACAUAGCGAAUAAAUGUAACAGCAUCGAAUCAUACCCGGCACCAAAAUGCGCAAUCUCUCCUGCAAAAAGAUUUGUAUCAGGUGGACGAAAAGAAAGUGCAAUUUAAAAGCGGAAAAAAGAAGAAAAAGAAAACAGUUUUGGUUUGAUGGAAUGACAGUACACUAACCAUAUAGCUGAAUGAUUGUGGCAGGAAGCAGAAAGGGAAUGAUGAUGAAGGAAAUCCACAUGACAAUCUUGGCAGACCACCAUCCGGAUUGCCACGAAUCUCUGGGUUCAUUCAACUUCGAUGUGCCAGCAGUGGAAAGAAACAUUGUGAUAUAAAACAACUGAUGAAGUAUAUAUUAAGGUUUUACUUUACUUUGAUCAACACUUAGAGAGCUAGAAAAAUCAUAUGAAAGUCCAAGAGUGAUGUAGAAGAAUCAAUGUUUUUACAAGAAAUUUGGAAAAGCAUUCACUUCCUCGAAUUCAGAUGCAUAAACAAUAGUGAAUAGUGUUGCCAUUUUUUCAAAAAACUUCUCAGAAUUUAGUGUACUACACGACAAACCUCGUCUCAUCAAUCGAAAUAGUCCAGUUCAGGCCAAGCCACGAAGAACAAAACAGAAAAAAGGAUACAAAGCAACCCAAGCUUACACGUAGGACUCCUUCUGCACCCAAACAAUCCUUCACACCAUGACAUCCUUUUAAUCCUGCACUCACAGCCAAAGGUUUUAAACAUUCUGCACUAAUAAUGUGUUGAUUAACACACUCGUUUAAGAUGCUAAGUGCGUUUAUCGAAUCUAUAACAAUGUGUUCAUAAGCAAGUAGAAUAGAGGAGAGAAAGCAAAUCUUACUCUCCAUCUCCGUCAACACAUUUCUUCCGUAAUCCCGGACACCCCAUGCCAUAAGAUUUGCUAUCAAAAACAUGAAUCCGUAGACAUAUCUGGCCAUCCAUGGAUUCGAACCAUUGCGAAAUUGGCUGAACCAUGAAUCAACCUUGACUUUGAGUCCACUCCUCAGAUAGUUUCCUGCUGAUCCACCCUCCUCCAUUUCUACUCCAUUCAACACUUCUUCAAGCUUUUUUCUUCAUCAAACAGAUUCAGAACAAUGCAGCAAAAGAAAACCAGCGGGGCUUCUCUCUCUGUCAGACUUUCUCUCUCUUCCCCUGCAUAGGUGGGACAGAAUCACAUGCAUUUCAUAGGAGAUCUAUACAUACAGUUACCAAAUAGUCAAAACUAACAAAUCAAAAUGAUGGGCUCAAAUCUGAUUUGGUAUUUAACAACAUGGGUUGGGUUGGUGAUAGAAUCUGUCCCAGGAGACCAACUUACAUUGGCAGUGAACCUAUUCUAUGUAAGUUCUUCUACUGCCGCAACCCAAAAAAAUGCAUUCUUUUUUACAAAAAGUGACAAACCAAACCCAUCUUCUAUAUAUGACAAGAUGUGCACCAAAAUGUAAUCUUAUUCCCAAGAAUAUGCGAAGGGUAUGCAAAUCUUUUUAAUUUUGGGCAAAACCCAUCUUCUCUAUUUAUAUUUAGCUGAAAGGUGAACCAAAAUAACAAAUCACUAUCCUGCCAUACUUUUGUCGGUCAAAAUUUUCUGCCCAAAAGAAGGAACUUUGGGCGCAAAGUAGGUAAAUAAAACAGUCAAAGGAGUCAAAUUUCAUGCAAUAGAUGUCGCCUUUGUUAAGAAAAAAAAAAACAAAAAACAAAAAACAAAGGGUGGUGUUAUCAAUACACUCUUUUUUAUCUUCAACAACCCUCUCAAUUUUUGGCAGUCCGAUUAAAAAAAAAAGGAUUAAAGGACAUAAAUUGAUAAGAAAUGCGUCCAAAAGUAAAAAAUAGUGUGUGGAUGACACCACUCAAAACAAAAGUGGGAUAAAGCAUUAUCCUUGAGGUGGUGGUUAACUUGGUUUGCACAUGGAAAUAAAACAUUCUCAAGAUCAUAAAGAAAAUGAUCACCACAAUAACUCGGAUGCCUUUCGGUUGGGUGGGUUAUAACGACAGAAACGUGCAUUGUACGACAACAUCAAUACCAUUGUUGAUGAUAGAGAGCUAAGCAUAUUGUUGGACAAUUCUAAUUACGACGGUCACACUAUCACGUAAUGUUAUUAAUAUACGUGUUAUAAUAUGAGUGAACAGUAACCAACAUAAUUAACCUAUCAACGACAGAGAGCUAAGCAUAUUGUUGGACAAUUCUAAUUACGACGGUCAUACUAUCACGUAAUGUUAUUAAUAUACGUGUUAUAAUAUGAGUGAACAAUAACCAACAUAAUUAACCUAUCAACGACUUGAAAUAUAUGUUAUAAAAUGAAUAAAUUAAUAAUUCUGCGUGACAGUAUAAUAAUCGUAUUGAAAUAUCGUAUCAUGUUCUCUCCUAACUUAUGGAGCUUGACUAGAAUCAAAUACAGUAGAAUAAGCAUUAAAAAGGCAUGCCAAAUGGAUCUACUUGAGAGUUCUAGAGCACAAUGGUGGGACCCACUCAAGUGCACACAUUACAAUAUUUGACAGAAAAAUUCCACUUCCUGGGGAGGAUGACGUGGUAGUCCACAGCUCCAAAGCUUUCAGAUUUUUAUUUUUUAUUUAAUUUUUAGUGUUUUAUAUUAUUAAUUAGGAGAGCAUUUCCUCAACUGCAAGCGUGCUCCGUGCCCGAGUAUCUUCCACUGAAUUCUGCAAUUUUGCUCUUAUGACGAUUAUACCCUCAAAUUCUGUACAUUUUUUGGUAAAUUUAUGCUAAAGAAAUAGCUACUUAUGGAGAGUUAUGUUUUGGUAUUAGAUGGGUCAACUCGUAAUUUGACUCUUCAUGACUAAUCUGAUAUAAAUCUGCACAUUUUUUGCUUUAGCCUGUCUCCAAAGAGCACAAUAGGAAGACAAUCCAAGAAGGCAAAGUAGAAAAAAGGGCCAGGAAAAAAAUAUAAUUAAAGGAGGACGCCAACUCAACAGAGCUCCCUGAUUUGUGAGAAUUGGGAGAAGUUUUAUUGUAGACUGUUUACAAUUCGAGCCCGUAAUCUUUAUAAGGAACAACAUUUUCGUUGCGUCAAAACUUACGGGAAAAAAUAUAUGUAAUUAUUAAGAAAAAAGUGACUUUACUCUUUGCUGGGUGGUUGAGAAAUAUGACAAACAAGACAAAAAAGUUAGUGAAAAUACAUGUCUAAUGUAGAUGUUUAUAUGAUUAUAUGUAUAUGCUUCAAUUUUGUUUUCCUUCGGUUUCUCAGCAACCAAACACAAAAUCCAGCAUUUGAGCCCUGUGAUCACCGGAACAGUUUUAAAACUUGGAAGGGGUUCUCAGUUCUAUUGCAAUUAUAUGAACAAAGAAAAAAAAUGUGAUGAAAGAAUCAAAAUUUUGGAUUUUUGAGCAGAAACGAACAGAACCCAGAUCAAUAUCAACUCCAACACACAGAAAGAUCCAAUCUUUACCAUCUAAAAUUCAAAGAAAUAAAACUGAAAAUAAAUAAAUGUCGAUAAAAAACUGUAGAAAUUAAAUAUUACUUUGGAGGGUACCUGAGAGAUGAAGUGGCAAAUGGGGCAAUGCACAAAUGGAGGAAUCAAGCAGUGAGUUGGGAGCUUCGAGAGUCUCUCUCUCUCUCUCUCUAAACCUCUGAGAGUCUGAGACAGUUUCUCUCUCUAUGUCUCAGAUUUUUUACGACAAAACACAGAGAGAGAGGCAGCUCUGUUUUAUUUUGUUGAGAGAGAGAAAGAGAGAGGAGAGAGAGAUUGCUUUUGAGGAGGUUUUUGCUUUGCUUUGGGACGUUUGCUUUUUCUUCCUUUUUCCCGCCGUAAGCUAACUGUCUCCGCUUCUCGUCGUUUCUUUCAAGGUUUAUUUUACUAUUAUUUUACGGUUUUUACCUAAUCAAUCAAACGAAAAAAUGUAAUGAUUGGUGAUAGUGAUUUGUAAAUGCACUCUUCAUGAUUAACUGUUGCUUAUGUGAAGCCGGUUAAUGCGGAAAACAAACAACCCAACAAAAUAAGCAAGGUUAAGACUUAAGACAGAGAAAUAAGCCAAGAACUAACGUACUUCGACUAUGUGUUUUUCGUCCAGAAGCAACAACAAUCCAAAAGUUCAGGUAUUUUAAAGCACACUUUAUUUUCAGUAUUUUCUCUCCCUAACUUCUUGAAACGUAAAAUUUUCUUAAUUACUCGUUGGUACAUGUAAACGAGCGCAACAACUCUACUUGAAUAUAAUCACUAGUGGGCUUCCUCGUCAAUUAGGAAACCUAGCACAAAUUGGAAUUCGAUUACGAGUAUGUAAAUUUUUCUUUUUUAGGAAGGAACGAAAUUGUAUUGAUAAAAGGGGCUUACAACUAAAAGAGAAAACCAGCUUUGAGAAUCUGGCAAAUUGGACAACAUAUCAAGACUCGAUUAAGAGCAUGUUUCAUGUCCUCGAAUAUUAUUAGGCGUGAUAAGCUUUGGGGAAACUAAUGAUGAACAAAACAACCCAACAACCUCACGCCAAAAUCAGUAUUUGAUACAUGCUUAACAUAAACAUGUUUUUUUUUAAGUAAUGAUAAUGGAGGCCACGAUGCUAUGAUAUCAGCUUUACAUUUAAAAUGAAACCAUAUUUUAUUUUCGUCUAUACUUAUAUUGCGUAGAAAUCCAUCCUCCUAAAUCAUCUCUUUGGAAUCACAACAAACUCACAAUAUUUUAAUUUAUUUUAAUUCUUAUAAUGGUCUAACUAAAUGCUUCGUUGGUCGUAUGGUCGCACGAAAAAGAACAGCAUUAAGAACGAGGAUAUCUAAGGUACAAUAGGGUAGUCCGCUAUUGAAGAUAAAAUGAGAGAAAAUUAGUUAAGGUGAUUCGAACACGUGAACAUAAUACCUACAAAUGCUUCGAUUAGAGGAAGGGACCAUAAGACAGAGGCUCAAAGCAAAAAAAGCAGUGUAAUACUUGGUUGUUGUUGGUGUACUCUAACCAAAAAGAAUAUUGUUGAUUAUAUUAGUCACAAAUCACAAUUAUUCUAAGUUACACUAACGAGCAAUUGAAGGUUCGAACUAAAACCCAAUGAGUUGAAGAGAAAAUCUUAUCUAUCCGGACAAUUUAUUCCUUGUUCAUAUUUUUUGUAACCCUAAUUAAUCACACAGCUUGCACAUAUAUAAAAUCCAUAUGAAUGCUUUUAUCCAAUUAAAUUAAAUCAAUCGCAUUGCAAGGGUUUGAUAAUCACCAAUAAAUAUUUUUUCCUAAGAAUCUUGUCUUCGUCAAAUUAAACAUCUGCUAAACUAAUAUGGACACUUCAAAAUUUUCGGAUCAGACGGUCCAUAACAUCUAAUAAAAUAUAAAUAGAAUAUAGAGAUAAAUUACAAAUUUUUUCUUCUUUUUUCCAUGACAGAUGAAUAUUAUAAAAUUCACUUUUCAAUUCGGCGGAGCACCAUAUAAAAUGUAAAGAGAACAAAUAUAUAUAUAUAUAUAUAUAUAUAUAUAUAUAAUUAAAAGGAUAAAAGAAAAGGAAGAAAAAAAGAAAUGGGAAAGAGACAAAUUAAAGAAGGGGGUGUGCUAUCCACACACAUCUUUUUACUUCUCGCACACCUUCUUAAUUUUCGACCGUCAGAUCGAAUGAAUUGAAGAAGAACAAAUGACAGUAAUCAAUAAGGAAUGUGUAAGAAGUAAAAAAAUGAUGUGUGAAUAUCACACCCCUUAAAGAAGGGAUCUCUCAUGCAUUCUCUGACUGGAACGUUCUUCUUUUAUGUAUGGAUCCCUGCAUGCACGUGCUCCUAACUUUAAACACCAUUCACAGGAGAGAUGGAUUUUAUUAAUUUUUCUUAAUAAAAUAAAAUGAUAAGACAUCGUCCACGAUUACAAUCAAUUUCAAUACAAUCAGAGAAAUUUUUUCUUCAUUCUCAAAUUUGAAAAUUACUAAAACGAAAACCAAUGCUAGCAACUGCAUUCGGCCAGAAAUUUGCUUCCGUAAGCACAUGAUUUCAACAAAUAGAGUCAAAGAAAGUCGUCGACCACUUAAUGUCUUUGAUGAUGUUUUUCAAUCAUCAAAGAGUUGAGCAAGAGCCUUUAAUUGCAUACAUUACUAAUUUGGAAUCACCUUCAACACACACGUUCUUGUAACUGCUUCCUUUUGCAAUCCAAAGUGCAUCCCUCGGAGCCAAAGCUUUAGCUACAUACACAAGGUAAAACGCGCACAUGGGUCUUAUAUUAUGUUUGAAUUUUUUGUCCUUAUUGUUAAAUAAAGUUAAGUAAAUGGGUAAUUCGUGUCUUUUCCUUAAAUAAAAAUUUUUAUUUUUGGUUGAAGAAAAGUUUGGUGAAGCCCAAAAGAAAGAAUUCUAAACCAUUCGUAGGCUAGUGCAAUGAAGCCCAAAGCUUUUCCAUCACAAUGGUUUUGGCCCACAUCCAUUGCUAUUGGUUUUACGAUAAGUUCCCAGCCCAUUGAAUCACUUAGGCCCGUUUUCGUAACCGAUGGCAAAAGCCAACUUCAUUUUUUAAAAUUAAUUUUAGUAGAUAGAUAACGUUGUUGAAUUAAAUAGUUAGUUGUUAAAAAAAAAAAAAAAAAGAAUUGCUAGAGAUUGAGAUCCCACCAAAAUGGACAUGCAUGAAUACUUUCCGUCACUGCCUUAAAGUGUCAUGUGCUAAUUUUUAUUACUUAGCAGGGAGUGAGAUUUAGAAGUUAAGACGACACAACGAAAGUAACUGAAAAUGGACAUGCAUGAAUACUUUCCACCACUGUAUUAAAGUAUCAUGUGUUAAUUUUUAUUACUUAGCAGGGAGUGAGAUUCGAAGUUAAAACGACACAACGAAAGUAAAUGAUAUUUAUAACCUGCAACAUUCAAUUAUUGAGCCAGUUCUAUUGUACGAAGCUAAAUUAAUAAGCCAGCUUCUUAAAAUUAAUUUUAAUAAAAAAUGACUCGUCAACUUUUCUUUUCUUUUUUUUUCUUUUUUUUUUUUUAAAAUAAAGAGACUAGUUAAUGAUUUCGCUACGUCAAUCUACUUUUUCAAGGGUCGGAAAGACUCACAAAGGCAUUUCAACAUCUUCCUCAUCACCAUUGUGUGAUUUAUCAGUGCCAGGAAUCGAAUUCUGAAUAUGUCGGGUAGAAUACAAACUUGCAAUUCGUCCCAACUACUGAACCAUCCUGUAGUGGUUGACUCGUUGACUUUUAUAAUGUAAGACAUGUUUUGUGGAAGUGGUUCCAAGCUAAUCAAAACAUCCACUAAAUUAAGUAGAUGAUGCACACCAUCAACUGCCUGCAAUUUGCCGGCCAUUUGCAAAUAUAUUGUUUCCCAAAUACCCUUUUUAAAGGCAAUCAAUUGUUUUAUUAGGAAGAAAUAAAAAAGCCGUAUAUAUUAAAAUUAUUAUAUGAUGUAAUGUUCAUAUGUUAAUGGCACCCAUGUUAUGUUUCCUUUUUACUUUUUCUUUGUUAAUCCUUUUUGUUUGUAUGCAUAUGUGAAUGUUGCUUUUGUAUCAUCAAACUAAUGGACUUAUUAAUACAAAAUGAUGAAAGCCUAAAAAGGAGCAGAACACCUUCACAUGAGCCUUAGAUAUAAUUACUACUAAAAUUUAUUUGAUACGGUCGAUCUUUCCGUAAAAAUUAAAAAAUUAGAAAAAGAUAUAGAAUGGGAGUGAAGUUAGAAACUCUUAAUUUCGGGUAAAUUCAAUAGAUUUUAUCAAUAUUUCUGACUUGUCGGUUAAAUUUUGAAAAAACUUUUGUAUUCGUCUAAACCAGUGGUUGACAUUCUUUAAAGCUUCAUUUAAAAUUUCCACGUUCUUGACCCAAUUUUUAUCAUUUUCAUCAAAUGCAACCAAUAUCGAUCUAUUUAUCAAUAUUUUCAUAAAUCUGCAUAUCGAUAUUUGCAUAAGUUUGUAUAUCGAUAUUUCUACUUACGCCGAUAUUUUAAUCACUGGUAAAGACAAAUAACACUAAUUCAAUAGCAUUUAAUAAACACUACUAAAAGAUGAAGAAGUACAUGAUGACUAUUUGAAGUGUAAAUGUAAAUUCUGACCCGAUGCCAUUUAUAUGUAUGACCUAAUUUCACGCUGUCGAAAGAGGUCCAAUAUUAAAUGGCAGUUAUGUCCUAAUUCAGGUAAGAAAACAAGUCAACCAACUUGUUAAAUUAAUCAAUUUUACAAUUUUUUUCAUGAUAAAAAUAAUGGUGAAAAAAGUGCUAACAUCACAUGUGGGGGGUUUAUCGAGGGAGGCCCCAUUUCUACAAAACGUUACAUCACCAUCCCUUGAUUGGAUAUUUUUGCAUCUUGUUUUCCACAGAGGACUAGAAAACCACAAGUGGAAUGAAUUGAGAUGUUCUUCGAAUUUCUACGUCUGGAUGUUUAAUAUUAUAAGAUUUAGGAUUGGUUUGGUAUUGCUGUGCUUUGAAAAAAAUUGUUUUUGCUGUGCUGUGAGAAUAAACGGUUGUGAAAUAAAGCUGUAGAGUGUUUGGUAAACUUUUUUGUAAAAAUGCUUUUGAAAAAAAAAACAGUAUUAUAGUGUUUGGUAAACUUUUAUGUAAAACAGAUAUGAAAAAAACCGGUUUUCAAAGCUGAGUUUUGCAGCUUCUUGUUUUUGGCUUUUUUUCACCCAAAACUGUGAAAAAAGCUGAAACUGAAUAUUUACCAAACACAAAAAAACUCCCAGCUUUUGUUAUACCAGUUUUGUUUCAGAAUCACUUCAGUACCAAACCAGGCCUAAGCGGUUGAAGAGAGAUUUGAAUUCUUAAUUUGUGUGGAGUGAACAAAUGAAAUAGAUUAAUAGGGUAACAAAAUUUAAAAUAAGUGGUCCGGAUCUCUUGAUAAUACUUCUUAAAGAAGCACUUGACUAUGCCAAAUUUAAUUAAGUGUUUUUUACCGUUAAAAAACAAUUUUAGCCAUUUCAGAAGUAAAUCUCAAAAAAAAACAUGGUAUGGGUUUUGGAAUGUGAUUUUCAAAGGGAAAAUGAUUUUCACAAACUCUUUUUCGAUUCUCAAACACUCCUCUUUAUUUAUGGUCAUCUAAUAGAAUAAAUCAAAUUGAAUUAAUGACUAGUAUUAAAUAGUAGUGAAUAAAAUGCUAAAAGGGGUGCGUGAAAAUCAGUUCUCUUUCAAAAUGCAAGGGCAGCAUCUUCUUCUGCACAUACACAAAUGAAAGCCAAUUGGCAAAUAUUUGGGGGCGGGUGGUACUUGACAGGGUCUAGACACGAAUUAUGAGUUUGGCUCGAUUUGGUACUGCAUGGACUUAAAGUUUAGAGGGAAGCAAUGAAAGACAGGCCGCUGCGGAACAAUUUACAGCACAUGAGAAGUUGGCCAUUUGGUCAUCGCCCAUCAAGUGCUCCUAUUUAUGUCCAUCCAACCAUCAGAGAGAGAGAGAGAAUAUAUGCCCUACGCGGCAGCCUUGCCUAAUAAUCUCUUCGUCCAAGAUGGAGUCGAGAAAAACUUAGGUAGGACUUCUUUACCACGUGACGUAAUGUAUGUGGUAGGUAUUGUCAACUAAAACGUGACAAAUGUUAUUGACAAUGCCAGCCACGCAUCGUGCCAUGAAGAGUCUCCACCAAAAUGUUUCUCUAUUGAAUCUUUGAUCGAUGAUAACCGAGCGGGUCGGGACCGAGACCCGACCAACCACCCCCGUCCCGGAGAAACAGAGAUCCGGUCCAGGAUUCAGGUAAAAAAAGUGAGGGACAGAAAAACAAAAAGGAGCUAUGAAAGGUGAAGUUACAAGUUACAACAGGAAAGGAGAAAGAGGAUUUGCUCAAGAUUUUAAAAGAGAAAAAGAGUAAAGCAUUAGUGACAACAGUCAACACCGACAAACACCAAUUCGUGAUGAUGAAGGAAUUCAGUAGUAAAAAGACAAAAGGAUCCGGAUGGAUACUCUCCGGAUCCCUUUGAUAUCGACCUUCAUGAUCUUUUAAUCGUGUCUAUUCGACCUAUUCAACCGAAUAUCGAAGGGUCAGGAAUCAAUUAACUACUUUUUUAUUUUUGCUUUUUCCGGUUCCAGUUUUGGACCACUGAAGCCGAAAGACGACAAUUGGCGUGGUGGGUCGGCAGUCGGAGCCAGCACCCAUCAAAGAACGCACGCAAUUGAAGGAUCCGGAUGGAAGAGAUCAGGAGAGAAUCCCGACCCUAAAAGGAUGGCCCAUUUCAAAGCCUUUUUUUCAUGAUCAAAAGCAUGAAAUGUUUCAAAUUCCAACGGAGGAGGAAUUGAGGAGUGUGAGAGUGAAGGAAUAAGGGAGGUUUCGAAUUCGAAAUUUCAAAAUCCGAAUUUGAUAUGAUAUUCGGGAAGCCCACAUGAAAGAUGAUGAUAGCAAUCCCAACCAACUAUUUAACUAAUAAAAAAAAUCAGAUGAGAAAUUGAAUGCCGCACCAAAUCAAUGAGACUUUCAGGGCACCGUCCGGCAAUUCAUGAUUUCACAUUGCCAAUUGGGACCUCCAGUCUCGAUCGAAAAUCAAGGGCCCUCCAGCCGGACAUGACCUACCACCUUGACUAUUAAAUAAAUAUGAUGCGGAUUCCCGUUUUGCAGGAUCAAGAUCGUACUUGGCCAGCUGAUUGCCAAUCGGCCUGCUGUGCCCGAUCCUGCGUAACGUAACGGGAUCCCGCUUCUACGUGAUUGUGUCAUUGUCAAACACUGAUGCUGCAAUGAACAUGGAUUCCUCCUCGUCAAUCCAGUUCCAAUUCCCAGAAUCUGAACGACGCAAACAAUCAGCAACAGAGUCUUGCAUUUGCUUAAUGAUCGAUACGGUCAUCGAAAAUCAAUUACAGCCCCGUUUUCUCACUUGUAUUCGAUCAAGCAAAUGGAGGACUGAAAGUGAAGAACAAAUAACAUAGCAUGCAGAUUACAAGCUCAUAACACAAACAGAAGUAAAUGGAAAUCAGAAGCGAACCCGAAAGAGACGAACUCUGAAACUUAAUAAUACAAGUAAAAAUGUUCAUGAUUAUACUAUAAAGUUUGGAAAUUGAGAAGAAACAAAAGUAUGAUAAAAAAAAUAGAGAAUAACAAUAAAACCCACCACAAAACCAGCAGCGGCGGAAGGAGGUGGUGCCGCUGUGUUUGUGGCGUGAACUAUGGUCUCCGAAAUGCAUCUCCUAUACAUACACAUUCUCUGCAACCUACUCUUUCUCUGCCAUUUUUAUUCUCCACAACUCAUCAAAUGGAUAAUCCAUAACAAUUUCAAAUAAAUAUGGGAGAGACUUUCUUUCUCCUCUUACCUCUCUCUCUCUCUAUACUGAUAUUACAUCUCUAUGCUUUCACCUCUUCUUCUUCUCUGUUUCUUCAGACAUUUGUUCAUCGAUGCCGAAAUGGGUGAUUGACAACAAGAAUUGCAUACAAACUCAAACUUUUAUGCUUUUUUUUUUUUUUGCUUUUCUAACUCUGCACGAGCGAUGAGAAUUGCCCGAAAGAGAGAGAAAUGAUGGUGUGGGGGAGAGAAGAAGCCGUGAAUGUGAACGAGGACUGUUGAGUUUUUGGUGAUUGUGCUCUGGGAAAGGUUAGAGGAGGAGAAAAUUCUCAAAAGAAUCAAUAGAAGGGUGGCGGCGGAGGAGACGCGUACGAAACUCCAAAGAUGGGUGGCAAUGGGCCCUCAUAUACAGGAGUGGGAGGCGGCGGGCUUUCAUAAACAAUUGGUGGUGGUGGAGAACUGUAGUGAACCGGUGGCGAAAGAUGGUGAACUGGUGGGGGUGAUGGAUGAGGUGGCGGGGUUUCACAUGGAAUUGGGGGUGAUGGGGAUGGUGGUGGUGGGGAAUUGUAGUGAACAGGUGUUGGCGGUGGUGGUGAUUGGUAUUGGACUACAGGGGGAGGCGGUGAAGGGGAUGGUGGGGGAGGGGACUGGUACACUGGUGGAGGUGGAGAAGAAUAGACAGGAGGUGGUGGUGGGGGUGAGGGUGAAGGUGGCGGCAAGUAAACAAUGGGAGGAGGUGGCGGGGGAGGUGAGUAUUCAAUACAUGGUGGUGGUGGGGAAGGUGGAGGGGGUGGUUCUAUACAAAGUGGUGCUGGUGGUGGUGGUGAGAGGACCGGGGGAGGUGGGGAAUGUCCAGGAGGUGGCGGUGAUGGAUAGACAUAUAUUGGUGGUGGCGGUGAAUGCGGUGUGGCGGUGAAUGCGGUGAAUGCGGAGGUGGAGGCAGUGUGGAGGUGGGGUGAUAGUACAUGUAAGGAGAAGGUGGAGGUGGAGAGCUCAAUGGAACCGGUGGUGGGGGUGAAUUGGUGGCGGAGGUGAGGGGGCCGCACGCAAUAGGG
Molecule: long non-coding RNA, 44168 nt
Filed under: Malus domestica (apple)
Lineage: Eukaryota; Viridiplantae; Streptophyta; Magnoliopsida; Rosales; Rosaceae
Description: long non-coding RNA (MDOM_LNC001366)
Source: RNAcentral